RNAcentral lists this ribosomal RNA (253 nucleotides) under uncultured bacterium. RNAcentral's name for it is "partial 16S ribosomal RNA". It matches the Rfam family "Bacterial small subunit ribosomal RNA", at positions 524 to 776 of the family's 1533-position model. The record is from RNAcentral.
UACAGAGGUCCCAAGCGUUGUUCGGAUUCACUGGGCGUAAAGGGUGCGUAGGCGGUCGGGUAAGUCUGAUGUGAAAUCUCACAGCUUAACUGUGAAACUGCAUUGGAUACUAUCCGGCUCGAGGAAUGGAGGGGAGACUGGAAUACUUGGUGUAGCAGUGAAAUGCGUAGAUAUCAAGUGGAACACCAGUGGCGAAGGCGAGUCUCUGGACAGUAACUGACGCUGAGGAGCGAAAGCGUGGGGAGCGAACAGG